AGCGAACGCUGGCGGCAGGCCUAACACAUGCCAGUCGAACGAACCUUUCGGGGUUAGUGGCGGACGGGUGAGUAACACGUGGGAACGUGCCUUUAGGUUCGGAAUAACUCAGGGAAACUUGUGCUAAUACCGAAUGUGCCCUUCGGGGGAAAGAUUAAUCGCCUUUAGAGCGGCCCGCGUCUGAUUAGCUAGUUGGUUGAGGUAAUGGCUCACCAAGGCGACGAUCAGUAGCUGGUCUGAGAGGAUGAUCAGCCACAUUGGGACUGAGACACGGCCCAAACUCCUACGGGAGGGAGCAGUGGGGAAUCUUGCGAAAUGGGCGAAAGCCUGACGCAGCCAUGCCGCGUGAAUGAUGAAGGUCUUAGGAUUGUAAAAUUCUUUCACCGGGGACGAUAAUGACGGUACCCGGAGAAGAAGCCCCGGCUAACUUCGUG
Molecule: ribosomal RNA, 434 nt
Filed under: uncultured bacterium
Lineage: Bacteria
Description: partial 16S ribosomal RNA
Rfam family: Bacterial small subunit ribosomal RNA
Source: RNAcentral